GACGAACGCUGGCGGCGUGCUUAACACAUGCAAGUCGAACGGAAAGGCCUGCUUUCCCUUGUGGAUUGCGGGUACUCGAGUGGCGAACGGGUGAGUAACACGUGAGUGAUCUGCCCCCAACUUGGGUAUAAGCCUGGGAAACUGGGUCUAAUUCCCGAUAGGACUGCAGGGUGGUGCCUGUGGUGGAAAACGAUUUUCUAGUGGUUGGGGAUGAGCUCGCGGCCUAUCAGCGUGUUGGUGGGGUAAUGGCCUACCAAGGCGGCGACGGGUAGCCGGCCUGAGAGGGUGGACGGCCACAUUGGGACUGAGAUACGGCCCAGACUCCUACGGGAGGCAGCAGUGGGGAAUAGUGCACAAUGGGCGGAAGCCUGAUGCAGCGACGCCGCGUGGGGGAUGACGGCCUUCGGGUUGUAAACUCCUUUCGACCGCGAGGAAGCCACCUGGUUGGAAGGGUGGUGACGGUAGUGGUAGAAGAAGCACCGGCUAACUACGUG
This 494-nucleotide ribosomal RNA is filed under the name uncultured bacterium. RNAcentral's name for it is "partial 16S ribosomal RNA". It matches the Rfam family "Bacterial small subunit ribosomal RNA", at positions 28 to 507 of the family's 1533-position model. The record is from RNAcentral.